Molecule: ribosomal RNA, 449 nt
Filed under: uncultured prokaryote
Description: bacterial SSU rRNA
Rfam family: Bacterial small subunit ribosomal RNA
Source: RNAcentral
UGGGGAAUCUUGCGCAAUGCGCGACAGCGUGACGCAGCAACGCCGCGUGGGGGAAGAAGGCCUUCGGGUUGUAAACCCCUUUCAGUUGGGACGAAGCCCCGUCCGUUAAUAGCGGUUCGGGGUGACGGUACCUUCACAAGAAGCCCCGGCUAACUACGUGCCAGCAGCCGCGGUAAUACGUAGGGGGCAAGCGUUGUCCGGAAUCAUUGGGCGUAAAGAGCGCGUAGGCGGUCCGGUCAGUCCGCUGUGAAAGUCAAGGGCUCAACCCUUGAACGCCGGUGGAAACUGCCGGGCUAGAGUCCGGAAGAGGCGAGUGGAAUUCCUGGUGUAGCGGUGAAAUGCGCAGAUAUCAGGAGGAACACCUAUGGCGAAGGCAGCUCGCUGGGACGGUACUGACGCUGAGGCGCGAAAGCGUGGGUAGCGAACAGGAUUAGAUACCCGCGUAGUCC